RNAcentral lists this ribosomal RNA (549 nucleotides) under uncultured bacterium. RNAcentral's name for it is "bacterial SSU rRNA". It matches the Rfam family "Bacterial small subunit ribosomal RNA", at positions 355 to 896 of the family's 1533-position model. The record is from RNAcentral.
UGGGGAAUAUUGGACAAUGGGCGAAAGCCUGAUCCAGCCAUGCCGCGUGUGUGAAGAAGGCCUUAUGGUUGUAAAGCACUUUAAGUGGGGAGGAAAAGCUUAUGGAUAAUACCCAUAGGUUCUGACGUUACCCACGGAAUAAGCACCGGCUAACUCUGUGCCAGCAGCCGCGGUAAUACAGAGGGUGCGAGCGUUAAUCGGAAUUACUGGGCGUAAAGCGAGCGUAGGUGGUUUAUUAAGUCAGAUGUGAAAUCCCUGGGCUUAACCUAGGAACUGCAUCUGAUACUGAUAAACUAGAGUAGGUGAGAGGAAAGUAGAAUUCCAGGUGUAGCGGUGAAAUGCGUAGAUAUCUGGAGGAAUACCGAUGGCGAAGGCAGCUUUCUGGCAUCAUACUGACACUGAGGUUCGAAAGCGUGGGUAGCAAACAGGAUUAGAUACCCUGGUAGUCCACGCCGUAAACGAUGUCUACCAGUCGUUGGGUCUUUUAAAGACUUAGUGACGCAGUUAACGCAAUAAGUAGACCGCCUGGGGAGUACGGCCGCAAGGUUA